CGCUCGAAAGACGCUAGAUGUGGGGGGGCCCUAAUUAGAAUGUAUACCUUCAACUGGUCAAUGUGAAGUUGACUUUCUAAUAAAAUUAGGAAUGAUUUCAUUGGUUACGGGCGUGCCUAGGUAAAUAUAAUGAUUUUAUUGCAUUCGUAACGCGAACGAAGUACAGUGUAUAUUAUUAUUAUAUGCUCACGAGGGCCUACAGCGAACACCGAAGUUCACAAAUUUCGGGCAUUUUUCUCUGUCUCUGUGUCAAUCUGCGAACUUUGGUGUUCGCGGUAGGCCCUCAGAGAUCGUUUUCUUGCUGUAUGAUUAGUGGCUAAUACCAUUAGAAUCGUAACACAAAGAAAAUACUUAUCAAUGACAACCUAACUGUGAGAAACAAGACUUAAGCUCUGCGGUGGCGGUUAUAAUAUAAUGCUGUGUUUUAUACCCAGAUCUCCUGUCCGAUGCUUUGGUUUAUAAUUUAGUCUUAAAGCGCAGGUGAAAAGCGAAUUUUAGCAAGACUACGAUUUUAAUUAUGCUCAGUUUUUGUAAAUAAUCUAAAAAUUCAUCGUCGUCUUUGCCCCGCCUAUAUUUAAAAUAACAUGGAUUUUGUUUAUAUCUUGCCAAAAUUCGCGAUUUUACUGAAAAUAUAGUAUAUAUAUCCACCGUUAGGUUUCCCUUUUCUUAUUUAAGUGCGCAAUUAUUUAUAUUUUAUUCUCAAUCACAAUAUGUUACCAUUUUUCACUUAAUAUUAUUAAUAAUCUAUUGUGUAAGAUUUUAUAAAAAUUGCCGCUUUUAUUUUUGUAAGUUUUCGUUUGUUUUUUUUUUUGUUUUGUUGGCAAGUAUCGGUAUACGUUCACUGAAUAAUAUAAUUAUUUAUACGCUAGUUCUAGCAUUUGCUGUUUACUUAUACAUCGAAGAACCGAUCCUUAAUAAAGAUGAUAGGUAAAAAUGUGUUGAAAAAGUGUAUUUUCCAGACCACAGAUGGUUAUGUUUAGUUUUGUUUUUAGUAUAUUUAUUGCUGCGAGAAGUCAGUGAGAAUCGGCAUUGUGUUAUCCAAAUAAACUUUUGUAUGUGUAUAUGAAAA
This is a long non-coding RNA of Cydia fagiglandana, 1069 nucleotides long. RefSeq lists it as uncharacterized. Lineage: Eukaryota; Metazoa; Arthropoda; Insecta; Lepidoptera; Tortricidae. The record is from RefSeq and is a predicted model, not a curated record. The transcript has 2 exons.